Paramuricea clavata is the source of this 294-nucleotide non-coding RNA. NCBI's taxonomy places the organism in Eukaryota, Metazoa, Cnidaria, Anthozoa, Malacalcyonacea, Plexauridae. The record is from the annotation of a GenBank genome assembly.
AAAUUUCAAUUCCAAUAAGGUUUUCUUUUAUACUUUAGAUUUAGUGCUCUUUCUCUCAGAUCGAAUCGCUUUUCGUUUAUGAUUAAUUAAGUUCUGUGCCCAAGGGCUAAUAGCGCGUAUUAUCUAGUAUCGAAUUUCAAACUAACAAAUACAUUCAACUACGCAGAAAAGUUAGCUUUUCAUUUUUAAUGGAACGGUACCAACGUACUUUAAGCAGUUUUGACUCCAGUUCAGCAAACUUUGUUUUGCAUUGUGUAAUGGUGUCGUCGAAAGCUUUCCAAACCUUAUCUAAAA